AGGGGAAAACUUUCGGCAUUCAACCCUAAACACCGCUCUCUCUCUUCUCUCUCUCUCUCUCUCUUCCAGAUCUACAUGAACAAGCAUUUCUCUGCCUUCAGAUCAACAUGAACAUACAUGUAGUCCUCGGUCGACAUUUCUAACUCAACUUUCAGGAUGUGAACUGAAGGCAUGGGAUGAGGAUGAGCGGGGAGGUGAUCAAAUAUUCAAACAGACACGUUUUUGUUGCAGUUGCUUAGAGAAUGUUCUGUGUAUGUCCUGGAGGCCUUGAUUUGGCAACUUAGAGGACUAGGGUUAUGUGGUUGAUACUAGAAAUCUAGGGUUAAACCUACAACAAGUCUAGGGAAUGGCACACCAACGGUCCACUUUCAAAUGUCUGGGUGUGGCUGAAUGGUUGCAGACCAUGCAUCUGGUUGGCUACCCAGAUAUCUUCACAACCAGGAUUUUCUUGACAAGAGUUUGAGAUAUUCCCCGUUACAGUUUUAGCUUAAACAUCUUAGAGGCUUAAACGCUAGACAGUCGGCGAUAGGAAUUAUGCCAUCCGGCCUUCCUUGAGUAUUGCGACCCUUUGAGGGAAGAAAUAUAGAUGGCUUCUCUCUAACGGUUUCUUCAACAAACAGAAGGAUACUAGCAAGUAGUGGGACUCGAGUUGGCGUGAAUGUGAGGUGUGUUAAAAAUUGACAAUGCAAAUGAGCUAUCAAAUUUUUGUUCCAGAAGAGUAUUUAGCUUACAGCCAUGUCAGAAGGCUUUACUGUAUUAAGUGUGCUAAAUGUGCUGAAGGAUGUGUCUGGCAGCAGUUCUUUGAAAACAAGCACUUCAAUAUAAGUUGUUCAAUUCCUUUAAUGUAAACAAAUGGUAGAAGUGUGCAUAAUAUUACAAUGUUAAUGUACGGUAUAAAUAAUUAUUUUGUUGUAGUAUAUAUCAAUUUUGAACAAAUUCAUGUAAGACUCAUUUUUUCUUCUAUUUAUACAUUAGUAAUGAAUAGAUUUUCUUGUCGUUUA
Molecule: long non-coding RNA, 1001 nt
Organism: Spinacia oleracea (spinach)
Lineage: Eukaryota; Viridiplantae; Streptophyta; Magnoliopsida; Caryophyllales; Amaranthaceae
Exons: 6
Source: RefSeq, a predicted model, not a curated record